This 496-nucleotide ribosomal RNA is filed under the name uncultured bacterium. Its description in RNAcentral is "partial 16S ribosomal RNA". The stretch from base 53 to 496 matches the Rfam family "Bacterial small subunit ribosomal RNA", at positions 39 to 507 of the family's 1533-position model. The record is from RNAcentral.
GGGGGGGGGGGGGGGGGGGGGAGGGGGGGGGAGGGGGGGGAAGGGAGGGGGAGCGGGCGCGGUCGACGGGAGCGGCGGACGGGGGAGGAACACGGAGGGAACCGACCUAUAAGACGGGGAUAACGUCGGGAAACCGGGGGGAAGACCGGAGAAUAUGGCGAACCGCAUGGGUCGAUAGUGAAAGAGGGCUCUGCGAGCACGGAUAGGUGGACCUGCGCCGGGUUAGCUAGGUGGUAAGGUAACGGCUUACCAAGGCAACGAUACGUAGCCGACCUGAGAGGGUGAUCGGCCACACUGGAACUGAGCCACGGUCCAGCCUCCUACGGGAGGCAGCAGUAGGGAAUCUUCCGCAAUGGGCGAAAGCCUGACGGAGCAACGCCGCGUGAGUGAUGAAGGUCUUCGGAUCGUAAAACUCUGUUAUUAGGGAAGAACAAACGUGUAAGUAACUGUGCACGUCUUGACGGUACCUAAUCAGAAAGCCACGGCUAACUACGUG